Molecule: ribosomal RNA, 235 nt
Filed under: uncultured bacterium
Lineage: Bacteria
Description: partial 16S ribosomal RNA
Rfam family: Bacterial small subunit ribosomal RNA
Source: RNAcentral
UGAGUAACCUGCCCUUAACUCUGGGAUAAGCCUGGGAAACUGGGUCUAAUACCGGAUAUGACUCCUCAUCGCAUGGGUGGGGGGUGGAAAGCUUUAUUGUGGUUUUGGAUGGACUCGCGGCCUAUCAGCUUGUUGGUGAGGUAAUGGCUCACCAAGGCGACGACGGGUAGCCGGCCUGAGAGGGUGACCGGCCACACUGGGACUGAGACACGGCCCAGACUCCUACGGGAGGCAG